Molecule: transfer RNA, 88 nt
Filed under: Candidatus Bathyarchaeota archaeon RBG_13_38_9
Lineage: Archaea; Thermoproteati; Candidatus Bathyarchaeota
Description: tRNA-Leu
Rfam family: tRNA
About the family: Transfer RNA (tRNA) molecules are approximately 80 nucleotides in length.
Source: RNAcentral
GCCGGGAUGGCCGAGUGGAUUAACCUCAUACUUGAGGAGCCUGUGACCCUUACGGGUCUCGUGGGUUCGAAUCCCACUCCCGGCGCCA